RNAcentral lists this ribosomal RNA (434 nucleotides) under uncultured Alphaproteobacteria bacterium. RNAcentral describes it as "bacterial SSU rRNA". It matches the Rfam family "Bacterial small subunit ribosomal RNA", at positions 9 to 487 of the family's 1533-position model. The record is from RNAcentral. Lineage: Bacteria; Pseudomonadati; Pseudomonadota; Alphaproteobacteria.
GAGUUUGAUCAUGGCUCAGAACGAACGCUGGCGGCAUGCCUAACACAUGCAAGUCGAACGAGACCUUCGGGUCUAGUGGCGCACGGGUGCGUAACGCGUGGGAAUCUGCCCUUGGGUUCGGAAUAACAGUUAGAAAUGACUGCUAAUACCGGAUGAUGUCUUCGGACCAAAGAUUUAUCGCCCAGGGAUGAGCCCGCGUAGGAUUAGCUUGUUGGUGAGGUAAAGGCUCACCAAGGCGACGAUCCUUAGCUGGUCUGAGAGGAUGAUCAGCCACACUGGGACUGAGACACGGCCCAGACUCCUACGGGAGGCAGCAGUGGGGAAUAUUGGACAAUGGGCGAAAGCCUGAUCCAGCAAUGCCGCGUGAGUGAUGAAGGGCCUUAGGGUUGUAAAGCUCUUUUACCCCGGGAUGAUAAUGACAGUACCGGGAGAAU